Molecule: long non-coding RNA, 875 nt
Organism: Helianthus annuus (common sunflower)
Lineage: Eukaryota; Viridiplantae; Streptophyta; Magnoliopsida; Asterales; Asteraceae
Exons: 2
Source: RefSeq, a predicted model, not a curated record
UUUCGCAAGAAGUACUUCCUGACCUUUUAUGUCUGCGGCGCACAGACCACGCGCAGACCUUUGGGUCUGCACCGUGUUUGUUUUUUGGAAGAGAUUUCACUAAAAAAACUCUUCUAGAGGUCUUCCUCGUGCAAAUCUGGACCAACCUCUUCAAAACUCUUCAAAACACUUCUCUCUUUCAAGGCCCAAAACCCUAACACCCAUCUCACUUCUCCAGCGACACCUCACCUCCUCCGCCACCCCCUCCACCUCCGCCGCCCUUCCACCGUCGUUCACCCCCUCCAACCGUUCAACCUUCUCCAUCGUUCACCCCCUCCAGCCGUUCAACCUUCUCCGCCACCCCCUCCACCUCUGCCGCCCCUCCCCUCCCCGCCGUCGCUGCCUUCAAAGGGAUCUUACAUUGAUCUUACAUUCAAAGGGAUCCUAAAACUGCUGUUGUAUCUGCCUGAACACAAACCAAACAGAAUAUACACACAAAAUCAAGAAAACCCAACUUCAGUUAUGCUAAAAGAGCCCAAAUUAAAGUGCGAAAAGUGAGUAAAGAUUCAAUUUUGACAAGUGGGUUUGUGAAAUUGACCUUUUUUAUGGAAUUGUUUGGAAGUUAAAAACAGUCUUCUUGUUGUAGACUGCAGAGGUUUGGUCUACCUCUUCUGCUACAGAUGUCUGCAGAUGUGGUCCGCAGACUGUAGACGUUUUACCUCUGAAACAAUAAACAACACCUUAUAGUAGGCGUCGUUAAGAUGGUUGUGUAUAUGUUGUAUAAAAACUAGCAAAAGGCUAGCAAUAAACAAUAGCUAAUUGAAUAAAAAUGCAUGGUUCGAGCUAUUAUACAAUUCAAUAAUUCAUCUUUCAAUUCAAAAAGCUAUUAAACAUUA